RNAcentral lists this ribosomal RNA (466 nucleotides) under uncultured bacterium. RNAcentral describes it as "partial 16S ribosomal RNA". It matches the Rfam family "Bacterial small subunit ribosomal RNA", at positions 28 to 507 of the family's 1533-position model. The record is from RNAcentral.
GAUGAACGCUGGCGGCGUGCUUAACACAUGCAAGUCGAACGGAAAGGCCCAAGCUUGCUUGGGUACUCGAGUGGCGAACGGGUGAGUAACACGUGGGUGAUCUGCCCUGCACUUCGGGAUAAGCCUGGGAAACUGGGUCUAAUACCGGAUAGGACCACAUUUUGGAUGGUGUGGUGGAAAGAUUUUCGGUGUGGGAUGAGCUCGCGGCCUAUCAGCUUGUUGGUGGGGUAAUGGCCUACCAAGGCGUCGACGGGUAGCCGGCCUGAGAGGGUGUACGGCCACAUUGGGACUGAGAUACGGCCCAGACUCCUACGGGAGGCAGCAGUGGGGAAUAUUGCACAAGGGGCGCAAGCCUGAUGCAGCGACGCCGCGUGGGGGAUGACGGCCUUCGGGUUGUAAACUCCUUUCGCUAGGGACGAAGCGUUAUGUGACGGUACCUGGAGAAGAAGCACCGGCUAACUACGUG